GACGAACGCUGGCGGCGUGCCUAAUACAUGCAAGUUGAGCGCUGAAGGUUGGUACUUGUACCAACUGGAUGAGCAGCGAACGGGUGAGUACCGCGUGGGGAAUCUGCCUUUGAGCGGGGGACAACAUUUGGAAACGAAUGCUAAUACCGCAUAAAAACUUUAAACACAAGUUUUAAGUUUGAAAGAUGCAAUUGCAUCACUCAAAGAUGAUCCCGCGUUGUAUUAGCUAGUUGGUGAGGUAAAGGCUCACCAAGGCGAUGAUACAUAGCCGACCUGAGAGGGGGAUCGGCCACAUUGGGACUGAGACACGGCCCAAACUCCUACGGGAGGCAGCAGUAGGGAAUAUUCGGCAAUGGACGAAAGUCGGACCGAGCAACGCGGCGUGAGUGAAGAAGGUUUUCGGAUCGUAAAACUCUGUUGGUAGAGAAGAACGUGGGUGAGAGUGGAAAGCUCAUCAAGUGACGGUAACUACCCAGAAAGGGACGGCUAACUACGUG
This 497-nucleotide ribosomal RNA is filed under the name uncultured bacterium. RNAcentral's name for it is "partial 16S ribosomal RNA". It matches the Rfam family "Bacterial small subunit ribosomal RNA", at positions 28 to 507 of the family's 1533-position model. The record is from RNAcentral.